This is a transfer RNA of 71 nucleotides. It matches the Rfam family "tRNA". From Rfam's summary of the family: Transfer RNA (tRNA) molecules are approximately 80 nucleotides in length. Their secondary structure includes four short double-helical elements and three loops (D, anti-codon, and T loops).
CGGGAUGUAGUAUAUCGGUAGUACGCCUGCUUUGGGAGCAGGUAGGCCGGGUUCGAUUCCCGGCAUCCCGA